Molecule: ribosomal RNA, 517 nt
Filed under: uncultured eukaryote
Lineage: Eukaryota
Description: SSU rRNA
Rfam family: Eukaryotic small subunit ribosomal RNA
Source: RNAcentral
AGUCAUAUGCUUGUCUCAAAGACUAAGCCAUGCAUGUCUAAGUAUAAAUGAUAUACAGUGAAACUGCGAAUGGCUCAUUAAAACAGUUAUAGUUUAUUUGGUAGUCGAAUUUACAUGGAUAACCGUGGUAAUUCUAGAGCUAAUACAUGCUGUAAAGCCCGACUUCACGGAAGGGCCGUAUUUAUUAGAUAACAGACCAAUAUUCCUCGUGUCUAUUGUGGUGAAUCAUAGUAACUGAUCGAAGCUUAGCUAGGCUAAGCUAAAUCAUUCAAGUUUCUGCCCUAUCAGCUUUCGAUGGUAGUGUAUUGGACUACCAUGGCAGUCACGGGUAACGGGGAAUUAGGGUUCGAUUCCGGAGAGGGAGCCUGAGAAACGGCUACCACAUCUAAGGAAGGCAGCAGGCGCGUAAAUCACCCAAUCCUGACUCAGGGAGGUAGUGACAAGAAAUAACAACUCGGGGCCUCACGGCUUACGGGAUUGCAAUGAGAACAAUUUAAAUCUCUUAUCUAGGAACAAU